This 1374-nucleotide ribosomal RNA is filed under the name human gut metagenome. RNAcentral describes it as "bacterial SSU rRNA". It matches the Rfam family "Bacterial small subunit ribosomal RNA". The record is from RNAcentral.
AGAGUUUGAUCCUGGCUCAGGAUGAACGCUGGCGGCGUGCUUAACACAUGCAAGUCGAGCGAUGAAGUUUCCUUCGGGAAACAGAUUAGCGGCGGACGGGUGAGUAACACGUGGGUAACCUGCCUCAUAGAGUGGAAUAGCCUUCCGAAAGGAAGAUUAAUACCGCAUAACGUUGAAAGAUGGCAUCAUCAUUCAACCAAAGGAGCAAUCCGCUAUGAGAUGGACCCGCGGCGCAUUAGCUAGUUGGUGGGGUAACGGCCUACCAAGGCGACGAUGCGUAGCCGACCUGAGAGGGUGACCGGCCACAUUGGGACUGAGACACGGCCCAAAACUCUACGGGAGGCAGCAGUGGGGAAUAUUGCACAAUGGGGGAAACCCUGAUGCAGCAACGCCGCGUGAGUGAUGACGGUCUUCGGAUUGUAAAGCUCUGUCUUUAGGGACGAUAAUGACGGUACCCAAGGAGAAAGCCACGGCUAACUACGUGCCAGCAGCCGCGGUAAUACGUAGGUGGCGAGCGUUAUCCGGAUUUACUGGGCGUAAAGGGAGCGUAGGCGGAUGAUUAAGUGGGAUGUGAAAUACCCGGGCUCAACUUGGGUGCUGCAUUCCAAACUGGUUAUCUAGAGUGCAGGAGAGGAGAGUGGAAUUCCUAGUGUAGCGGUGAAAUGCGUAGAGAUUAGGAAGAACACCAGUGGCGAAGGCGCCUUUCUGGACUGUAACUGACACUGAGGCGCGAAAGCGUGGGGAGCGAACAGGAUUAGAUACCCUGGUAGUCCUGGCCGUAAACGAUGGGUACUAGGUGUAGGAGGUAUACCCCUUCUGUGCCGGAGUUAACGCAAUAAGUACCCCGCCUGGGGAGUACGGCCGCAAGGUUGAAACUCAAAGGAAUUGACGGGGGCCCGCACAAGCGGCGGAGCAUGCGGAUUAAUUCGAUGCAACGCGAAGAACCUUACCUGGGCUUGACAUGUUCCCGACGAUCCCAGAGACUCCUCUUUCCCUCCGGGGACAGAAGUGACAGGUGGUGCAUGGUUGUCGUCAGCUCGUGUCGUGAGAUGUUGGGUUAAGUCCCGCAACGAGCGCAACCCUUGUCGUUAGUUACUACCAUUAAGUUGAGGACUCUAGCGAGACUGCCUGGGUUAACCAGGAGGAAGGUGGGGAUGACGUCAAAUCAUCAUGCCCCUUAUGUGUAGGGCUACACACGUGCUACAAUGGCUGGUACAGAGAGAUGCAAUACCGCGAGGUGGAGCCAAACUUAAAAACCAGUCUCAGUUCGGAUUGUAGGCUGAAACUCGCCUACAUGAAGCUGGAGUUACUAGUAAUCGCGAAUCAGAAUGUCGCGGUGAAUACGUUCCCGGGUCUUGUACACACCGCCCGUCA